Molecule: ribosomal RNA, 497 nt
Filed under: uncultured bacterium
Lineage: Bacteria
Description: partial 16S ribosomal RNA
Rfam family: Bacterial small subunit ribosomal RNA
Source: RNAcentral
GAUGAACGCUGGCGGCGUGCCUAAUACAUGCAAGUCGAGCGAACAGACGAGGAGCUUGCUCCUCUGACGUUAGCGGCGGACGGGUGAGUAACACGUGGAUAACCUACCUAUAAGACUGGGAUAACUUCGGGAAACCGGAUCUAAUACCGGAUAAUAUAUUGAACCGCAUGGUUCAAUAGUGAAAGACGGUUUUGCUGUCACUUAUAGAUGGAUCCGCGCCGCAUUAGCUAGUUGGUAAGGUAACGGCUUACCAAGGCAACGAUGCGUAGCAGACCUGAGAGGGUGAUCGGCCACACUGGAACUGAGACACGGUCCAGACUCCUACGGGAGGCAGCAGUAGGGAAUCUUCCGCAAUGGGCGCAAGCCUGACGGAGCAACGCCGCGUGAGUGAUGAAGGUCUUCGGAUCGUAAAACUCUGUUAUUAGGGAAGAACAAAUGUGUAAGUAACUAUGCACGUCUUGACGGUACCUAAUCAGAAAGCCACGGCUAACUACGUG